UGACACAAGAGAAUAGGUACUGAUUAACAUUGACUGACACAAGAGAAUAGGUACUGAUUAACAUUGACUGACACAAGAGAAUAGGUACUGAUUAACAUUGACUGACACAAGAGAAUAGGUACUGAUUAACAUUGACUGACACAAGAGAAUAGGUACUGAUUAACAUUGACUGACACAAGAGAAUAGGUACUGAUUAACAUUGACUGACACAAGAGAAUAGGUACUGAUUAACAUUGACUGACACAAGAGAAUAGGUACUGAUUAACAUUGACUGACACAAGAGAAUAGGUACUGAUUAACAUUGACUGACACAAGAGAAUAGGUACUGAUUAACAUUGACUGACACAAGAGAAUAGGUACUGAUUAACAUUGACUGACACAAGAGAAUAGGUACUGAUUAACAUUGACUGACACAAGAGAAUAGGUACUGAUUAACAUUGACUG
Eriocheir sinensis (Chinese mitten crab) is the source of this 444-nucleotide long non-coding RNA. RefSeq lists it as uncharacterized. The record is from RefSeq and is a predicted model, not a curated record. The transcript is spliced from 3 exons. Lineage: Eukaryota; Metazoa; Arthropoda; Malacostraca; Decapoda; Varunidae.